AGCUACCAUCCGGUUGCGACUCUGGCGCCGGCUCCUCACCCCCAAGCAGAGCAAGGUGUCCCCCCGACGCCCGGUCAGCGUUGAGGACGCCAAGCCAAGCCCUGCGGCGCCGGUUUGACCGGUCCCGCAGUGACCCACGCCUUGCUCUUCCUGCUCUGCCCAGGGACUCCGCCUCGCGCGCCUCCCAGCGGCGGACCGAAGACCCGCACUCAAGCAGCCCGGCCGUAGCGUGCGGUCCCGCGACCCGGGCGGGACGACUGGGGGACGCGCUGGCCAUCUUCCCGAUCUGCCCAAGCCGCUGUUCUGCUCCAGGGCCUGGGAACGCAGUUCAAUCGGGGAGCGGACCCAGAGCCCGGCCCACCAAACUCCGCCCCUGCCCGUGCCUGCGGCGGUUUCGGGGCAGGGGGCCUGCACGGCGAGACAGUUACUCAGACCUGGCGAAACCAGCGAGUCGGCACCUGCCGGCCUGGCGGGCGUGGCAGGCGGAGGCUCCGUUACGCCCCGCCCCUGGGCUCGCCCCGUCCCGGCCGCCCACGCGCCGCGCGCCCCGCCCCGGCCCGCGCCGCCAGCCUGCCAGCCCGGAAGGAGCCGACCGAGCGCCUGCGGCAGCUGACUCAAGCG
This 621-nucleotide long non-coding RNA is filed under the name Rattus norvegicus (Norway rat). Its description in RNAcentral is "long non-coding RNA NONRATT001447". Lineage: Eukaryota; Metazoa; Chordata; Mammalia; Rodentia; Muridae. The record is from RNAcentral.